UGCAAGUCGAACGAUGAAGCCCUUCGGGGUGGAUUAGUGGCGAACGGGUGAGUAACACGUGGGCAAUCUGCCCUUCACUCUGGGACAAGCCUUGGAAACGAGGUCUAAUACCGGAUAACACUCCCAUUCUCCUGGAUGGGGGUUAAAAGCUCCGGCGGUGAAGGAUGAGCCCGCGGCCUAUCAGCUUGUUGGUGAGGUAAUGGCUCACCAAGGCGACGACGGGUAGCCGGCCUGAGAGGGCGACCGGCCACACUGGGACUGAGACACGGCCCAGACUCCUACGGGAGGCAGCAGUGGGGAAUAUUGCACAAUGGGCGAAAGCCUGAUGCAGCGACGCCGCGUGAGGGAUGACGGCCUUCGGGUUGUAAACCUCUUUCAGCAGGGAAGAAGCGAAAGUGACGGUACCUGCAGAAGAAGCGCCGGCUAACUACGUGCCAGCAGCCGCGGUAAUACGUAGGGCGCAAGCGUUGUCCGGAAUUAUUGGGCGUAAAGAGCUCGUAGGCGGCUUGUCACGUCGAUUGUGAAAGCUCGGGGCUUAACCCCGAGUCUGCAGUCGAUACGGGCUAGCUAGAGUGUGGUAGGGGAGAUCGGAAUUCCUGGUGUAGCGGUGAAAUGCGCAGAUAUCAGGAGGAACACCGGUGGCGAAGGCGGAUCUCUGGGCCAUUACUGACGCUGAGGAGCGAAAGCGUGGGGAGCGAACAGGAUUAGAUACCCUGGUAGUCCACGCCGU
This 730-nucleotide ribosomal RNA is filed under the name Streptomyces sp. YIM 65628. RNAcentral's name for it is "bacterial SSU rRNA". It matches the Rfam family "Bacterial small subunit ribosomal RNA", at positions 56 to 803 of the family's 1533-position model. Lineage: Bacteria; Bacillati; Actinomycetota; Actinomycetes; Kitasatosporales; Streptomycetaceae. The record is from RNAcentral.